UAACUUUAAUUCUUAAUUCAUUCUAAUGAUACUUUUUAUGUUCUCGGCGGGUAAAUUAAGUUAUAACAUAGGAUUUACAUGCAUACCAUAAAGCGGUGAUCUAAUGAAAGGCUAACGGCGGAUUAAUAUGAAGCGAGGAUAACAAGAUUGGUAGUAAAAAUUUAUAUCUAAAUUAAUUUUUAAAGAAAAAUGUAAACACCAG
Molecule: long non-coding RNA, 202 nt
Organism: Ceratosolen solmsi marchali
Lineage: Eukaryota; Metazoa; Arthropoda; Insecta; Hymenoptera; Agaonidae
Exons: 3
Source: RefSeq, a predicted model, not a curated record